GUAGGUGGCAAGCGUUGUCCGGAAUUAUUGGGCGUAAAGCGCGCGCAGGUGGUUCGUUUAAGUCUGAUGUGAAAGACCCCCGGGCUCAACCGGGGAGGGUCAUUGGAAACUGGGGAACUUGAGUGCAGGAGAGGAAAGUGGAAUUCCACGUGUAGCGGUGAAAUGCGUAGAUAUGUGGAGGAACACCAGUGGCGAAGGCGAAUUUCUGGCCUGUAACUGACACUGAGGCGCGAAAGCGUGGGGAGCAAACAGGAUUAGAUACCCUGGUAGUCCACGCCGUAAACGAUGAGUGCUAAGUGUUGGGGGGGUUUCCGCCCCUCAGUGCUGCAGCUAACGCAUUAAGCACUCCGCCUGGGGAGUACGGUCGCAAAGACUG
Molecule: ribosomal RNA, 376 nt
Filed under: uncultured organism
Description: partial 16S ribosomal RNA
Rfam family: Bacterial small subunit ribosomal RNA
Source: RNAcentral